GGGGCUUUUCUGAGACGACACGCCAUUGGGAUAGCAAGAAAAGGUUCAAUAGGUUUUGUCAAAAAGGGAGGAGAUCCUAGUAUAACAUACAUUUGCUAAAUAUUGACAGGUGCAAAGUAAGCAAUCCCUUGGAUAUAAAACAAUUGGAAGUCUAUGUUGUCUUCCCAAGCAUCCUUUCUUGCUUAGAAGCAGCUUGGAAAUGGAUAUUUACACUAGAUAAUUUGAUGAAAAGGGGAAGAUGAUUGACAAAUGGAUGGUAUCCUCCUGAGAGUUAAGAUGAAUCAGAGAAUCACUUGCUCAACAGUGCAACUUUUAGUAUUUGGCCUACUCAUUUAGAAUACAUUAAUGGAUCAUAUGAAAAUUUAGAAAAAGAGUUCCAUGCUUGGAGGGUUCUUUUCACAAAGAUGCAACGGAGGAGACAAGCAAUUCCUUUGACAAUUUUGUAAAGAAAAUCAUAGUAGAGAAACAUCGAUGGAUAACUUAAAGAUAGUCAGAUGCAAACAAUUCACUGAUAUUUUAAAGGAGAACUUCCUUUUUUGAAUAUAUUUCUUUCGAAAACUGCAUGGAUGAAGUUGUUUAUAAGAUAGAUUUCCCAUCGUAAACCACUGGUAUUCAUGGGUGGCACCGCAUUAGAUGCCAGUCUAUAAGCUUUAUUUUUUAUUUUUAGAAAAAGGAAACAUAUGGCUAUGCAACUAGAUUGGAAUCAAGGCUUAACUGAGCUGAGGUUCCAUACGUAGUAUUUAGCACCAAUAGUGAGCUCCCUAAACCCUCCUUGAAACAUAGUCAUACCACCUUUUGGGGCAUAAUUUUGCCAAACAACUUCUGGCAUUCCCAAAUAUUGGACCCAGCUUGCUCCGUUGGUACAAUGGAGAGGUUACCAUCCUUCCGGUGCAAUGGUCAUUGUUUACAAAGUAUGUAUUAGCAAGAAAAUAAAUGAUUUCAUAAAGGUGUCAGCAAAAAUACUCGUUGCUUUUCACUUUCUUGUUUAGGUGUCUCAUUUCAAUUAUAUUAAUGCUUUAUUUUAUUGCCUCCCUCAUCUAUCAUAUAUUUCGGACAUGAUUAUACCAUGGUGUAAUGAUUAUAUUCAUUACAACCAAACUAAGCGUCUUUGGUUAAAAAAUAAAUAAAA
RNAcentral lists this unclassified non-coding RNA (1129 nucleotides) under Hevea brasiliensis (rubber tree). Lineage: Eukaryota; Viridiplantae; Streptophyta; Magnoliopsida; Malpighiales; Euphorbiaceae. The record is from RNAcentral.